RNAcentral lists this long non-coding RNA (258 nucleotides) under Elaeis guineensis (African oil palm). RNAcentral describes it as "long non-coding RNA (EGUI_LNC073540)". Lineage: Eukaryota; Viridiplantae; Streptophyta; Magnoliopsida; Arecales; Arecaceae. The record is from RNAcentral.
CCAAGUAUGGCGUUGUAGGUCGAAGACAUCUGGACGACCGUGAAAGUCAAAUGGACUGUGCUUUGUCGUGGUUCGGUACCAACCGUCACGGGUAGAGUCACUUCUCCUUCCAUCGUGAUAGCGUCCCCAGCGAAGCCUAUCAAGGGCGUAGAGACUCUGUUGAGUCGGUCGGUCGAUAGUCGCAUCCGAGAAAAGAUCGAGUAAAACAAAACGUUCGUUGAACUUUCAUUAUCUACAAAGAUUCUUUUUACAUCAUAG